UUUUAGUUCUGACUUUAAAGUCAGAAUUCUGAGAAAAAAGUCAGAAUUCUAAGAUUAAAUUCAGAAUUCUGAGAUUAAGUCAGAAUUCUGAGAGUAAAGUCAGAACUCUGAGAAAAAGUCAGAAUUCUGAGUAAAAAGUCAGAAAUCUAAGAUUAAAGUCCGAAUUCUGAGAAAAAAGUCAGAAUGAAGUGAGAAUUAUGGAUAAACUAUCUGUAAGGAGCCAACUUCAGUGAGAGAGUGACAUGAGAGAUACAUGAAGGUUUACAUGAGUUUCUGCAUGUUCGAGAGGUCCCAGAGGAAGCCAUUGCAGUAAUGGGUGAGCAAAAGGUGAGUGCAAAAGAAAUACACGUUGGUUUGGUGCCUGGCGUUUGUAAGAACAAAGAAAGGCUAUGGAUAUGAAGGAUGCUAAAUCCAGACAAGGGUUAUAAUAAACGUUAGUAGCGUAGCGUUAGCAAACGCCAACGCUACUAGCUGCUAGCUAUAGCUAUUGUAGUACACAGCAUGCGCCACCAAAGGUCAGAGUUGGUCAGAGCUGACACACGGUCAGAAACGCAGCCUCUGAUUGGUCGACAGACUCGACCCAAGGCAUCAUGGGAUUGCUAGUAGACGGCUAACAACAACAACAACAACGAUUGUUUUCAAUCCGGAAAGCUUGAUAAUUAAUCACAGAAGGCAUUCAAUGAUGGAUUUAUCAUCAUGGAUUUAUUUUACAAAGUCUCCAAAAACACACUGCAGUUCAAGGCUGGAUUACAAAGCUUCUGAAAGGGAUACGAUCACUGUACGGUGUCCUGGCAGCUAGAUACACAAGGGAAGUGGUGUUACAGAUGCUGGAGGAUGGAGGGCCAGUUACGGAGCUGAACUCAGAAUCUGAAAUCUAAGAUGAUGAGGACCCAGACUACUGUCCAGAAAGUGUAAGCCACCUGGAAAUCAAACUCUACCAGGUGAACAGGAUCAAUAGGACACAGAAGAUUCAUCCUGUGAAUCCUCUGAGGAAGAAAGUGAUAUUCAAAUCACUUCCAACCGAAUGAGUCAUAUGGGCUCUUAUUGGAGGAAGUUCGAAAUGUUGUGUUAUUAAAACAA
RNAcentral lists this long non-coding RNA (1080 nucleotides) under Sparus aurata (gilthead seabream). Its description in RNAcentral is "lncRNA (ENSSAUG00010005652.1)". The record is from RNAcentral. Lineage: Eukaryota; Metazoa; Chordata; Actinopteri; Spariformes; Sparidae.